RNAcentral lists this ribosomal RNA (401 nucleotides) under uncultured bacterium. Its description in RNAcentral is "partial 16S ribosomal RNA". It matches the Rfam family "Bacterial small subunit ribosomal RNA", at positions 360 to 776 of the family's 1533-position model. The record is from RNAcentral.
AAUUUUGGACAAUGGGGGAAACCCUGAUCCAGCCAUCCCGCGUGUAUGAUGAAGGCCUUCGGGUUAUAAACCGCUUUCCGGGGGGAAGAGGAAGGACGGUACCCCCGGAAGAAGUCUCGGCUAACUACGUGCCAGCAGCCGCGGUAAAACGUAGGAGGCGAGCGUUAUCCGGAUUUACUGGGUGUAAAACGCGUGUAGGCGGUCCUGCAAGUGGUGCGUGAAAGCGCCCGGCUAAACCGGGCGAGGAGGUGGGCGAACUGCAGGGCUAGAGGCAGGUAGAGGCGUGUGGAAUUCCGGGUGUAGUGGUGAAAUGCGUAGAGAUCCGGAGGAACACCAGUGGCGAAGGCGACACGCUGGGCCUGGCCUGACGCUGAGAGGCGAAAGCAUGGGGAGCGAACGGG